ACGGGCUAAAUGCAGUCGAGCGGGCGAGGUUGCUUCGCGUACACUGACGCUAGCGGCGGACGGGUGAGUAAUGCUUAGGAAUCUGCCUAUUAGUGGGGGACAACAUUCCGAAAGGAAUGCUAAUACCGCAUACGCCCUACGGGGGAAAGCAGGGGAUCUUCGGACCUUGCGCUAAUAGAUGAGCCUAAGUCAGAUUAGCUAGUUGGUGGGGUAAAGGCCUACCAAGGCGACGAUCUGUAGCGGGUCUGAGAGGAUGAUCCGCCACACUGGGACUGAGACACGGCCCAGACUCCUACGGGAGGCAGCAGUGGGGAAUAUUGGACAAUGGGCGGAAGCCUGAUCCAGCCAUGCCGCGUGUGUGAAGAAGGCCUUUUGGUUGUAAAGCACUUUAAGCGAGGAGGAGGCUACUUGGAUUAAUACUCUAGGAUAGUGGACGUUACUCGCAGAAUAAGCACCGGCUAACUCUGUGCCAGCAGCCGCGGUAAUACAGAGGGUGCGAGCGUUAAUCGGAUUUACUGGGCGUAAAGCGUGCGUAGGCGGCUUCUUAAGUCGGAUGUGAAAUCCCUGAGCUUAACUUAGGAAUUGCAUUCGAUACUGGGAAGCUAGAGUAUGGGAGAGGAUGGUAGAAUUCCAGGUGUAGCGGUGAAAUGCGUAGAGAUCUGGAGGAAUACCGAUGGCGAAGGCAGCCAUCUGGCCUAAUACUGACGCUGAGGUACGAAAGCAUGGGGAGCAAACAGGAUUAGAUACCCUGGUAGUCCAUGCCGUAAACGAUGUCUACUAGCCGUUGGGGCCUUUGAGGCUUUAGUGGCGCAGCUAACGCGAUAAGUAGACCGCCUGGGGAGUACGGUCGCAAGACUAAAACUCAAAUGAAUUGACGGGGGCCCGCACAAGC
RNAcentral lists this ribosomal RNA (892 nucleotides) under Acinetobacter johnsonii. RNAcentral's name for it is "bacterial SSU rRNA". It matches the Rfam family "Bacterial small subunit ribosomal RNA", at positions 42 to 930 of the family's 1533-position model. Lineage: Bacteria; Pseudomonadati; Pseudomonadota; Gammaproteobacteria; Moraxellales; Moraxellaceae. The record is from RNAcentral.